Molecule: ribosomal RNA, 624 nt
Filed under: uncultured Candidatus Poseidoniales archaeon
Lineage: Archaea; Methanobacteriati; Thermoplasmatota; Candidatus Poseidoniia; Candidatus Poseidoniales
Description: bacterial SSU rRNA
Rfam family: Archaeal small subunit ribosomal RNA
Source: RNAcentral
AUUCUGAGACACGAAUCCAGACCCUACGGGGUGCAGCAGGCGCGAAAACUUGGCAAUGCGAGCAAUCGUGACCAGGGAACUCCAAGUGGCUGGGGUAAUACCCAGUUUUUUUCUUGACUCUUCAAAGGUCUUGGAAUAAGGGGUGGGUAAGGACGGUGCCAGCCGCCGCGGGUAAUACCGGCGCCUCAAGUGGUAGUCGCUUUUAUUGGGCCUAAAACGUCCGUAGCCGGUCUGGUGCAUUCGUGGGUAAAUCAACCCGCUCAACGGGUUGAAUUCUGCGAGCACGGCCAGACUUGGGACCAGGAGAGGUGUGGGGUACUCUCAGGGUAGGGGUAAAAUCCUGUCAUCCUGAGAGGACCACCUGUUGCGAAGGCGCCACACUAGAACGGAUUCGACGGUCAGGGACGAAACCUAGGGGCACGAACCGGAUUAGAUACCCGGGUAGUCCUAGGUGUAAACGCUGUGGACUUGAUGUUGGGGGUGCUCCGAGCACUCUCAGUGUCGAAGCGAAGGUGAUAAGUCCACUGCCUGGGGAGUACGGUCGCAAGGCUGAAACUUAAAGGAAUUGGCGGGGGAGCACUGCAACCUGAGGAUUGUGCGGUUUAAUUGGACUCAACGCCGGGA